UACGUAGGGGGCAAGCGUUGUCCGGAAUCAUUGGACGUAAAGAGCGUGUAGGCGGCCAGAAAAGUCCGCUGUGAAAACUCGAGGCUCAACUUCGAGCUGUCGGUGGAAACUUUCUGGCUAGAGUCCGGAAGAGGAGAAUAGAAUUCCUGGUGUAGCGGUGAAAUGCGCAGAUAUCAGGAAGAACACCCGUGGCGAAGGCGGUUCUCUGGGACGGUACUGACGCUGAGACGCGAAAGCGUGGGGAGCGAACAGG
Molecule: ribosomal RNA, 253 nt
Filed under: uncultured bacterium
Lineage: Bacteria
Description: partial 16S ribosomal RNA
Rfam family: Bacterial small subunit ribosomal RNA
Source: RNAcentral